Non-coding RNA from Aedes aegypti (yellow fever mosquito), 117 nucleotides. The record is from Rfam. NCBI's taxonomy places the organism in Eukaryota, Metazoa, Arthropoda, Insecta, Diptera, Culicidae.
UGCCCAGCAACUCCUAUCCCUACCUCCUCGUGGUACUGGCCGGGGUACGAGUAACCUUGGGGAAGAUCGGGUAACCAACCCCCGGUGGGAGCUUUGGUCGUAUGCUGACAGGGAAGG